RNAcentral lists this long non-coding RNA (294 nucleotides) under Elaeis guineensis (African oil palm). RNAcentral's name for it is "long non-coding RNA (EGUI_LNC021956)". The record is from RNAcentral. Lineage: Eukaryota; Viridiplantae; Streptophyta; Magnoliopsida; Arecales; Arecaceae.
UACUUAUAUAUUACGAGUAUAAACACAAUCAAAACAAUAAAAAAAAAACAAUGCCCCAAAAUGCUUGCGGCACCUCAGCUAUCUCAGUCCACAACCACAAAAGAAGCCAUUCAGUGAGUCACACUGUUGAUCUUAUGGUAGACAUAUCUGAUCUCAAUCGAAGAGUAGCCUCGAACUAAAUACCAUGCAUCAUUGAAGAGAAAGCGAGUAGCUUUGACCCUCAGUUACUUCCGCAACCAGUCGACGAUCCUGACUGAAUUUCCUUCUACAAUCAACCCCUUCGCAUACAGCCGC